This 201-nucleotide long non-coding RNA is filed under the name Prunus persica (peach). Its description in RNAcentral is "long non-coding RNA (PPER_LNC005588)". The record is from RNAcentral. Lineage: Eukaryota; Viridiplantae; Streptophyta; Magnoliopsida; Rosales; Rosaceae.
AAAAACCAAGUGUGAUCAAAUCUUAAACCAUUUUAUUGCAAUCCAACUAAAAAAAACUAUUUUCAUGAUAUCAUAGCUGGCAGUAAGGAUCCUUUGAGCCUGAGUUUGGCGGGUUAAUUAGUCAUAUAAUUGUGAGAAUGUGAAGAAAUGUCACACAUCUAUUUCCUUCACUGUCAAUUAAUUUUAGGGUUAAACCUUGAC